CAUAAAUUUCGGUAUUAUCUCCUCCAAAGCCGCUAGCCAAAAAUUUAUAUUGCCGUCAUUCGUCACCGUCUUUGUUCCGCUGAACUUGUUGCGACCACCACCUAGCGGCCACCGUUUUCAUCUAGGAUUGUCCCGGUUCCGGUUCGAUCUCUUCCGAUAAGAAGAUUUCGUUGAGCACGUCGGUGGACCUUUAACUUGAGACUUUAGAUGUUCUAGACACUCGUUCAGGUAAUUUGGGAAUCGUGGGGAAUAAGUGAAGAGUGUCGUGAAGAUAAAGAUUUAUUUUUAUAUUCGGUAAUGUAAUGAAAAAGAAAUUAGGGUCUUUUGUUUACAACGUCAUGGAUUGGUUUUAGUUUUGA
Helianthus annuus (common sunflower) is the source of this 359-nucleotide long non-coding RNA. RefSeq lists it as uncharacterized. The transcript has 3 exons. NCBI's taxonomy places the organism in Eukaryota, Viridiplantae, Streptophyta, Magnoliopsida, Asterales, Asteraceae. The record is from RefSeq and is a predicted model, not a curated record.